AAUCAAAGACAUGGACUUAAAUUCAAUGACCAAAACUCAACAUUUUUCAAAGUUAAGUGGCUAAAAACUUGACAUUUUAAAGUUCAAUGGCUAAUCAAAGAUAUGGAUCUAAGUUCAGUGACCAUUGAAACAAUUAACUCAACGGAAUUACCUCUUUCUUGACGUCCUGAAUGCGUUGAAGUAGGUAUUUGGUUUGUCUUUUUUGCAAAAUAAUGAACUAUUGGUGUCUAUUUGUAAUCAGAGUUACACACGUGCUAUAAAGUCCGAUCAUAAAAAUGUGAAUGACAUGAAGAAGCGGUAAAAGUCGAUGGGUUCCCAAUUUUUCACGCACAAACUAAUGGCAUACGAUGGUAAAUAAUUUGAAUUUUAACUCCUUAAAUCCAACAAUAUCACGGCACUCAAAUCAACUCAGAUACGAUGUCUAUCAUGUUUCAUUCGCCUAGCAGGUAUUGAUUGAGCAAUAUGGUCAACGUACCAAACUUUCUC
Molecule: long non-coding RNA, 486 nt
Filed under: Olea europaea (common olive)
Lineage: Eukaryota; Viridiplantae; Streptophyta; Magnoliopsida; Lamiales; Oleaceae
Description: long non-coding RNA (OEUR_LNC004774)
Source: RNAcentral